This 531-nucleotide ribosomal RNA is filed under the name uncultured bacterium. RNAcentral's name for it is "bacterial SSU rRNA". It matches the Rfam family "Bacterial small subunit ribosomal RNA", at positions 335 to 866 of the family's 1533-position model. The record is from RNAcentral.
CACCUACGGGAGGCUGCAGUAGGGAAUAUUGGGCAAUGGGCGAGAGCCUGACCCAGCCAUGCCGCGUGCAGGAAGACGGCCCUCUGGGUUGUAAACUGCUUUUGAAUGGGAAGAACGGUAGGCUUGCGAGCUUAAUUGACGGUACCAUUAGAAUAAGCCACGGCUAACUACGUGCCAGCAGCCGCGGUAAUACGUAGGUGGCGAGCGUUAUCCGGAUUUAUUGGGUUUAAAGGGUGCGUAGGCGGCUUAAUAAGUCGGUGGUCAAAGGUAGCAGCUUAACUGUUUUACAUGCCACCGAUACUGUUGAGCUUGAGAUAUGUGGAGGCAGAUGGAAUUUCCGGUGUAGCGGUGAAAUGCAUAGAUACCGGAAGGAACUCCUAUUGCGAAGGCAAUCUGCUACAGAUAAACUGACGCUGAUGCACGAAAGCGUGGGGAUCAAACAGGAUUAGAUACCCUGGUAGUCCACGCCGUAAACGAUGAUUACUAGUUGUUGGCAAGUUGUUGUCAGUGACCAAGGGAAACCGAUAAGUA